Molecule: ribosomal RNA, 254 nt
Filed under: uncultured bacterium
Lineage: Bacteria
Description: partial 16S ribosomal RNA
Rfam family: Bacterial small subunit ribosomal RNA
Source: RNAcentral
UACAGAGGUCUCAAGCGUUGUUCGGAUUCAUUGGGCGUAAAGGGUGCUUAGGCGGCGCGGUAAGUCGGGUGUGAAAACUCAGGGCUCAACUCUGAGACGCCACUCGAUACUGCCCUGACUCGAGUCCGGUAGGGGAGCGUGGAAUUCCCGGUGUAGCGGUGAAAUGCGCAGAUAUCGGGAGGAACACCAGUGGCGAAGGCGGCGCUCUGGGCCGGAACUGACGCUGAGGAGCGAAAGCGUGGGUAGCAAACAGG